AGACGGAGGGCGCGAGCGUUGUUCGGAAUUACUGGGCGUAAAGCGCGCGCAGGCGGACGGUGCAAGUCAGGGGUGAAAUUCUGGGGCUCAACCCCGGAGCUGCUCUUGAUACUGCCUGUCUAGGGACCGGUAGGGGCCGGUGGAAUUCCCGGUGUAGCGGUGGAAUGCGUAGAGAUCGGGAAGAACACCCGUGGCGAAGGCGGCCGGCUGGGCCGGAUCCGACGCUGAGGCGCGAAAGCGUGGGGAGCAAACAGGAUUAGAUACCCUGGUAGUCCACGCCGUAAACGAUGGGUGCUAGAUGCCGGGGGGAGCGACCCUUUCGGUGUCGUAGCUAACGCGUUAAGCACCCCGCCUGGGGAGUACGGCCGCAAGGCUGAA
Molecule: ribosomal RNA, 378 nt
Filed under: uncultured bacterium
Lineage: Bacteria
Description: bacterial SSU rRNA
Rfam family: Bacterial small subunit ribosomal RNA
Source: RNAcentral